AACAAGGCCGAGGUUUUAGGUUCAAGACUGAAGCAAUGGAAUCUCUUGGCAGAGAGACCGUCAGAAAGACCUUCUUCCACUCUUUGGCCAGAUCCGUCAACUUAUGGGCGAUGACGAGUUUCUUUCUCUAUUGAAAGGAAAAGAAAAGGCUGCGUGGAUAUCAUUCAUGUCAGUAACAUCAAAGUUUCUUGGAAACAACAAAUCAUCAAACUACAAGGAAGUGGUUGAAGAACUACUCCAAGCCUACCAUCGUCUUGGAUGUAACAUGUCAUUAAAAAUUCAUUUCCUUGA
Molecule: non-coding RNA, 291 nt
Organism: Anolis sagrei ordinatus
Lineage: Eukaryota; Metazoa; Chordata; Lepidosauria; Squamata; Anolidae
Source: RefSeq, a predicted model, not a curated record